CUGAAUAACUACGCAGAUCGCACGGUCUCGAACCGGCGACAUAUCCUUCAAGUGUCUGCCUUAUCAACUGUCGAUGGUAGUUUACAUGACUACCAUGGUUGUAACGGGUAACGGAGAAUAAGGGUUCGACUCCGGAGAGGGAGCCUGAGAAACGGCUACCACAUCCAAGGAAGGCAGCAGGCGCGCAAAUUACCCACUCUCAGAACGAGGAGGUAGUGACGAAAAAUAACGAGGCAGUUCUCUUUGAGGUCUGCCAUUGGAAUGGGUACAAUCUAAACCCUUUAACGAGUAUCAAUUGGAGGGCAAGUCUGGUGCCAGCAGCCGCGGUAAUUCCAGCUCCAAUAGCGUAUAUUAAAGUUGUUGCGGUUAAAAAG
Molecule: ribosomal RNA, 374 nt
Filed under: Nematoda sp.
Lineage: Eukaryota; Metazoa; Nematoda
Description: SSU rRNA
Rfam family: Eukaryotic small subunit ribosomal RNA
Source: RNAcentral